CAGACCCGCGGAGCCGGCCUGGAGCUGCGGGCGCUGCAGGCGAGAUCGGCCCCGCUCCGCCGCGGCUCCGGGCCGAGCCGAGCGGGGGCGGGGAGAUGAGCGGCGGGCCCCGCGGCGGCGCCCCCACGUAGACGCGCCGCCCCCUCGCGGAGCCGCGGCGCCUCCGCGCCGGCCCUGCGCCCCCCGCCGCCCGGGCUUCGGAACUUGUGGGCUGCGAUGGGACGCCUGUGAUAGCGAACGUGUUUCGUUUCCCACACGAUGGGGAGGGACGCGCGGCGGCGGCGCCAUCGGGAACGGGCGCGCCGGUGAAGUAGGGGCCGCCGGCCGUCCCUGCAGCGGGCCGUUCCGCGCGCGGCCGCGCAGCCUCUGCCAUGGCCGGGUCCGGCGCGUGGAAGCGCCUCAAAUCUCUGCUGAGGAAGGACGACGCGCCGCUGUUUUUAAAUGACACCAGCGCCUUUGACUUCUCGGACGAGGCGGGGGACGAGGGGCUUUCUCGGUUUAACAAACUUCGCGUUGUGGUGGCCGACGACGGUUCCGAAACCCCGGGAAGGCCUGUUAACGGGGCGCACCCGGCCCUCCAGGCCGACGACGAUUCGUUGCUGGACCAGGACUUACCUCUGACCAACAGCCAGCUGAGCCUGAAGGCGGACCCCUGUGACAGCUGCAGCAGACGGAGGGAGCUGCUGAAGCAGAGAAAGGUGAAAACCAGGUUGACCAUUGCGGCCGUUCUGUACUUGCUUUUCAUGAUUGGAGAACUUGUAGGUGGAUACAUUGCAAAUAGCCUAGCAAUCAUGACAGAUGCACUUCAUAUGUUAACUGAUUUAAGUGCGAUCAUACUGACCCUGCUUGCUUUGUGGCUGUCUUCAAAAUCACCAACCAAAAGAUUCACCUUUGGAUUUCAUCGCUUAGAGGUUUUGUCAGCUAUGAUUAGUGUGCUGUUGGUAUAUAUACUUAUGGCAUUUCUCCUAUAUGAAGCUGUCCAAAGAACUAUCCAUAUGAAAUAUGAAAUAAAUGGAGAUGUAAUGCUCAUUACCGCAGCUGUUGGAGUUGCAGUCAACGUAAUAAUGGGGUUUCUUUUGAACCAGUCUGGUCACCAUCACGCCCAUUCCCACUCCCUGCCUUCAAAUUCUCCUACCACAGGUCCUGGGUAUGGGCACAACCAUGGGCAGGAUAGCUUGGCAGUGAGAGCUGCAUUUGUACACGCUUUGGGGGAUUUGGUACAAAGUGUCGGUGUGCUAAUAGCUGCCUACAUCAUACGAUUCAAGCCAGAAUACAAGAUUGCUGAUCCCAUCUGUACAUACGUAUUUUCAUUACUUGUGGCUUUUACAACAUUUCGCAUUAUAUGGGACACAGUAGUUAUAAUACUAGAAGGUGUGCCAAGGCAUUUGCAUGUUGACUAUAUCAAAGAAGCCUUGAUGAAAAUAGAAGAUGUCCAUUCAGUGGAAGAUUUAAAUGUCUGGUCUCUCACUUCAGGAAAGCCCAUGGCCAUUGCACACAUACAGCUAAUUCCUGGAAGUUCAUCUAAAUGGGAGGAGGUACAGUCCAAAGCCAGGCAUUUGUUGUUGAACACAUUUGGCAUGUAUAAAUGUACUAUUCAGCUUCAGAGUUACAGGCAAGACGUGGACAGAACUUGUGCAAACUGUCAGAAUGCCAGUUCCUAAUUGAAGAUGUCUGGGGGACUACUGCCUUAUUUACCCUGCAGUCACAGACUUGAGAGCAAUAAAUGACACGUGAAUGGGAGAAUGGAAUUCCUGACAGCCGUGCCCAUGCACUGGCCUCACAAUCAGCCUGAGAAUGCUAGUUUCUGUCGAAUGGUAAAGUGAGACUUCACCAUGAUUUUCAGAUGAAGAUGUUUCCAAAACACUGUUUACAGAAUGAGACGUGACUCUACAGAUACCUCAGAGAAGACAAUCGAAGACCGUACUUCACAAUCACAACAGAGUAUGUGUCAUAAAGGAAGCAUCAAGAGUUCUGUAUUUGCAUUUAAAAAUCCUUUUUAAAGCCCACUUCUAUCAAGCCAGAGCUGGAAAACUGAUUUUUUAAUGUAAUCUUGAUACCCAGCUUCUGGAAUUUGACACCCAGCUCUCUUUUUACAGAAAGUAUUUCUCAACAGAUUUCAGAAAGUACUAGUAAUUAUCCAGAGUGGAAUAAGCAUGUAUUCCUAAAUGUUUCAGAACUGUUUUAUUUCACAAUCACUUUUAAUGUCCCCCCAGCCCAGCAACAAUGGCAGAGAGGAAAGAAAGAAGCCCCUGAGAAAGUAAGAUUGGUGAAGACACGGAGAAGUCGGAGAGCGAAGGCCCAGUGUCUCUCCAAGAACGUAGAUGGGGGUCAGCAAACCUUACCUCACGGGCCAGGGCCAGCCUGCAGCCUGUUCUGUGUGGCCCAAAGAACUGAGAAUGGAUUUUACAUUUUAAAAUGUUUUUUAAAAGCCAGAAUAAUUAUAUUUUAUCAUGUGAAAAUUCUAUGAACUUUAAAUUUCAAUGCUGAAAUCCCAGUUUGUCUGUGACCACUCAAUUAUGCCUGUUGUCCUGGCAUAAUUAUUAAUAGCAUCUCCUUUUAUUCUCAAAGUGGCCAGUUUAUGAUAAUAAAUGAUAAGGUCACCCUAAAAAAAAUGUCAGUGUCUGUAAAUAAAAUGGUAAACACAACCACUCAUUGAGUUACGUGUUGUCUGGCCGCUUGCAUGCCGCAGUAGCAAAGUUGAGUAGUUACAACAAUAUAAAGCGUGUACCAUCUGUCCCUUUAGAGGAGAAGUUUGCCAACCCCUGGCGGAAGUUCCGUGUUGCACCCUUUGAGGCCUGGCAGCAUAUGUGGAUGCAGCGAGCCCUUCGAGAGCCCACUUAGAAGCUGCUGAGGCUGGUCCCUCGGAGACUACCUGAGUCACCGAAGGCUCUUUUCUUCCCUUGACCUAUUUUCUUGUCUUUAUCCCCCUUGGAGUUUGGGCAGAAAUAUAGGAAAAGAGGAGCAAGUUUCAGAUGUUACCUAUGCACCAUAUGCUGUAUCUAAUGUUCACUAGCAAAACAGUUUUCUACCCAGAACAACAUGAUCACCAGAAUCAUCUAAUAAUAAUUUCAUCAUAAAGCUUUAUUCACUUGAUUUUUAAUUUUUUUACUAAAGUUAUGACAAAAAUAAAGGAAAUAAAAAUGUAUGUAUGUUGAAUACCUUAUGUAGUUUGUGCCAACUGAAAGCUCACAAAUGAAAAAUAACACUUUAUCUGCUAAAUAAGAUGUUUGUGAGGUUUUUAAAAUAAUGUUCUUUAAAGUUUUCCAGUUACCUAGGAAAAGACUUAACUAUUUUUGAAAAUAGUAAUAAAAUAAAGUUUUAAAUAAAUUAUUCUAGUAAAUAAAGAGACGUUGCAUAUUGUUUAUCUACUUAUAUACUUAGCUAUA
Molecule: RNA transcript, 3386 nt
Organism: Eptesicus fuscus (big brown bat)
Lineage: Eukaryota; Metazoa; Chordata; Mammalia; Chiroptera; Vespertilionidae
Gene: SLC30A4
Gene name: solute carrier family 30 member 4
Exons: 8
Source: RefSeq, a predicted model, not a curated record